UGCUCCUGUCUUGUGAUCAUACACGUAUAAAUCUUUCGCCUUUUACUAAAGAUUUCCGUGGCUGCGGGACAGAAAUGGAGCUAACCCCAAUUUUUUGUCAACACAAUUUCUUAUUUUCUUUAAGAAA
RNAcentral lists this small nuclear RNA (127 nucleotides) under Absidia repens. Its description in RNAcentral is "U5 spliceosomal RNA". It matches the Rfam family "U5 spliceosomal RNA". Rfam says of the family: U5 RNA is a component of both types of known spliceosome. The precise function of this molecule is unknown, though it is known that the 5' loop is required for splice site selection and p220 binding, and that both the 3' stem-loop and the Sm site are important for Sm protein binding and cap methylation. Lineage: Eukaryota; Fungi; Mucoromycota; Mucoromycetes; Mucorales; Cunninghamellaceae. The record is from Rfam by way of RNAcentral.